UUGCAUAGUUUUUUUUUGGUCAAAUAUUUUAUUAGGUUAGUUGGUAAUUUUAUGUUGUAAUCAUUUUUCUGGUUAAAAGUUUAUGAUAUAAUCAUUUUUCACUAUUUAAAUCAUUCAAAUUUGACGGUAAAAUUAUAACAAAAAAUAAAAGAAAUAGUUUUUACUUAUCAAACUUGGCGUUGAAAAAAUAUCAAAUUAUUGUGAUUAUCUUAAUUAGUGCUAUUUUAAAA
This 230-nucleotide long non-coding RNA is filed under the name Capsella rubella. Its description in RNAcentral is "long non-coding RNA (CRUB_LNC004046)". Lineage: Eukaryota; Viridiplantae; Streptophyta; Magnoliopsida; Brassicales; Brassicaceae. The record is from RNAcentral.